RNAcentral lists this transfer RNA (68 nucleotides) under Canis lupus familiaris (dog). It matches the Rfam family "tRNA". Rfam says of the family: Transfer RNA (tRNA) molecules are approximately 80 nucleotides in length. Their secondary structure includes four short double-helical elements and three loops (D, anti-codon, and T loops). Lineage: Eukaryota; Metazoa; Chordata; Mammalia; Carnivora; Canidae. The record is from Rfam by way of RNAcentral.
GCUCGCUCAGUUGGUAGAGCAUGUGACUCUUGGUCUCAGGCUCAUGAGUUCAAGCCUCAUUUGGGGCA